RNAcentral lists this ribosomal RNA (726 nucleotides) under Triticum aestivum (bread wheat). RNAcentral's name for it is "partial small subunit ribosomal RNA". Lineage: Eukaryota; Viridiplantae; Streptophyta; Magnoliopsida; Poales; Poaceae. The record is from RNAcentral.
AUGGCGUCCCUUUUCAAGGACCCGAGCAAGCUGUCGGUGUACAGGGACCGGCGGUUCCCUGGGACGCAGGAGGAGUUUGAGGCGGCGCUGCUGGCGUCGCUGACGGUGUACGUGGGGAACAUGUCCUUCUACACCACGGAGGAGCAGGCCUACGAGCUGUUCUCCCGCGCCGGCGAGAUAAAAAAGAUCAUCAUGGGCCUCGACAAGAACACAAAGACCCCCUGCGGCUUCUGCUUCGUACUGUACUACUCCAGGGAAGAUGCUGAAGAUGCAGUAAAAUAUAUUAGUGGCACAAUGCUUGAUGAUCGCCCAAUCCGUGUUGAUUUUGAUUGGGGCUUUGAAGAAGGCAGGCAAUGGGGCCGUGGAAGGAGUGGUGGACAAGUCCGAGAUGAGUACCGCACGGAUUAUGAUCCUGGAAGAGGUGGCUAUGGCAAGAUGGUUCAGAAAGAGCUAGAAGCACAAAGAGAAUUAGUUGACUAUGGUGUAGGUUUUCAAACGAAUGCUCCACCGCAGUUUGAUAGAGCUGACAGGAAGAGAGGAUAUGGCGACCGGAAUGACAGAGGAGAUUACCAACGGAGACGGUCGGCACCAGAUAUGGCCAGGAGAGCAACUGACUCGGAUUCUAAGAGAGAUGCUAAUCAAGAGCCUGAAAAGAAUCCCAGGUUUCGCGAGAAAGGUGAUUCUGAUGAUGAAGAUGAUGACUACGAUAAGAAACGCCGGCGCUGA